This is an RNA transcript of Pan troglodytes (chimpanzee), 2896 nucleotides long. It is a transcript of the gene named coiled-coil domain containing 33, with no coding region annotated. The transcript is spliced from 20 exons. The record is from RefSeq and is a predicted model, not a curated record. Lineage: Eukaryota; Metazoa; Chordata; Mammalia; Primates; Hominidae.
GACCCAGCUAGGUGGAAGAGCUCACUGUUUUCCAGGCCUGGGCAGAGGCAGGGCCCCCCUGCCCCAUCUCUCCACCGUCCUAGGGGUGCCAAGAGUCAAUUGCCUCAUUGCUGACCCUGUCCAGCUGGCCAUGGCCCUCAACCCCCAAGGCCCUUCCACCCACAGACCAUCUCGCUGCUGAGAGAUCCAGGACCUGCUCCCACCUGGCCACCCUCCCCCUCCCCCCACAUCCAGGCCCCAGGGCUGGUGUGUGGCACCCCUGAGACCACAUUGACCUCCAUACUGUCUACUACCCAUAAGGACUCCAAGACGCCCAGGCCAGCUGUCUGGGCAGGACUGAUGCCUGAUCACCCACUAAUACCAAGUACUCAUCCCCAAGAUUGUUAAACAAGGCCAGACACUCCUGGCCUCAAGAGGAUGGGACUGAAAAACAAAAAGAACACUGAAGACCCAGAGGAGCCCCUGAUCGCCUCCCAGAGCACGGAACCUGAGAUCGGUCACCUGUCUCCCUCUAAGAAGGAGACCAUCAUGGUCACCCUCCAUGGGGCUACCAACCUGCCUGCCUGCAAGGAUGGCUCCGAGCCGUGGCCCUAUGUGGUGGUGAAAAGCACAUCUGAGGAAAAGAACAAUCAGAGCUCCAAGGCAGUCACAUCUGUGACCUCAGAGCCCACCAGAGCCCCUAUCUGGGGGGACACGGUGAAUGUGGAGAUCCAAGCUGAGGAUGCAGGGCAAGAAGAUGUGAUCCUCAAGGUGGUGGACAACAGAAAGAAACAGGAGUUGUUGUCCUACAAAAUCCCCAUCAAGUACCUGCGUGUCUUCCACCCCUACCACUUUGAGCUGGUGAAGCCCACUGAGUCUGGGAAAGCCAAUGAAGCCACUGCCAAGACCCAGUUGUACGCAACAGUCGUUCGGAAGAGCAGCUUCAUCCCCCGCUACAUGGGCUGCAACCACAUGGCUCUGGAGAUCUUUCUCCGGGGAGUCAACGAGCCCCUGGCCAACAACCCCAACCCCAUAGUGGUGAUUGCCCGGGUCGUUCCCAACUACAAGGAAUUUAAGGUCAGCCAGGCUAACAGGGACCUGGCCUCUGUGGGGCUGCCCAUCACCCCACUGUCCUUCCCUAUCCCGUCUGUGAUGAACUUUGACGUGCCUCGCGUCAGCCAGAACGGAUUCCCUCAGCUGUCCAAGCCUGGGGGACCCCCAGAGCAGCCCCUGUGGAAUCAGUCCUUCCUCUUCCAAGGCCGAGAUGGAGCUACCAACUUCUCAGAAGACACAGCCCUGGUGCUGGAGUACUACUCCUCAACUUCAAUGAAAGGCAGCCAGCCGUGGACCCUCAACCAGCCCCUGGGCAUCUCUGUGUUGCCGCUAAAGAGCUGUUUGUACCAGAAGAUGCUGACAGGGAAAGGCUUGGACGGGCUUCACGUGGAGCGGCUCCCCAUCAUGGACACCAGCCUGAAAACUAUCAAUGAUGAGGCCCCCACAGUGGAUCUCUCCUUCCAGCUGCUUUCCUCUGAGAGACCAGAAAACUUCUUGACACCAAACAACAGCAAGGCUCUUCCUACCUUGGACCCCAAGAUCCUGGAUGAGAAGCUGAGAACCAUCCAAGAGUCCUGGUCCAAGGACACAGUGAGCUCCACAAUGGACUUGAGCACAUCCACUCCACAAGAAGCAGAGGAGGAACCUCUGGUGCCUGAGAUGUCCUGUGACACAGAGAUGAACAACUACUGGCAGGCCAUGCAGAAGAUGGCAGAGGACAUCCUGUCUCUGCGGAGACAGGCCAGCAUCCUGGAAGGAGAGAACCGCAUACUGAGGAGCCGCCUGGCCCAGCAGGAGGAGGAAGAGGGGCAGGGCAAAGCCAGUGAGGCCCAGAACGCGGUGUCCAUGAAGCAGAAACUGCUGCUGAGUGAGCUGGAUAUGAAGAAACUGAGGGACAGGGUGCAGCACUUGCAGAAUGAGCUGAUUCGAAAGAAUGAUCGAGAGAAGGAGCUGCUCCUUCUGUAUCAGGCCCAGCAGCCACAGGCCGCUCUGCUGAAGCAGUACCAGGGCAAGCUGCAGAAGAUGAAGGCGCUGGAGGAGACUGUGCAGCACCAAGAGAAGGCAGGUGAUCAAGAAGAUGGAGCGGGUGCUGGAGGACAGGCUGCAGGACAGGAGCAAGCCCCCUCCUCUGAACAGGCAGCAGGGAAAGCCCUACACGGGCUUCCCUGUGCUCUCAGCCUCUGGCCUUCCCUUGGGUUCUAUGGGAGAGAACCUGCCGGUUGAAGUUUACUCAGUGCUGCUGGCAGAAAACGCGAAGCUGCGGACGGAGCUGGAUAAGAACCGCCACCAGCAGGCCCCCAUCAUUCUGCAGCAACAGGCCCUGCCGGUGGACCCCGGGGAGUUGGGAGCAGGAGGAGACUUGACAGAGAGGCUGCGAGAGACGCAUGGCCCAGGCCACUCAGAGUGCACAGAGACCCUGCCUGCACAGGAUCUCCUCUCUGGUACUUCAGACAAGUUCAACCUCCUGGCCAAGCUGGAACAUGCUCAGAGCCGGAUCCUGUCCCUGGAAAGCCAGUUAGAGGACUCAGCUCGACGCUGGGGACGAGAGAAGCAGGAUCUGGCCACACGGCUGCAGGAGCAAGAAAAAGGUUUCAGGCACCCCUCGAACUCCAUCAUCAUAGAACAGCCUCCUUACAGCCUCCUGCCUGCCCCGGGAGCCAGCAUCUUUGGAAAGCCAAGGGCCACAGUGGACCCAGGAGGGUGGAGAGAAGAGGCCUUCCAAAGCAGGGGCCAGGGAGACGGGCCCCUUCCAGACCCGGAGAAGAAGCAAGGCCACCAGAGACCAGCUCUGUUGGGAAAUACGAGGGAGGCUUGUCCUUUUCAUCUGCCCCAAAACAUCUAUCAUGUCUGAUGUUCCCUCUUU